This 141-nucleotide non-coding RNA is filed under the name Equus caballus (horse). RNAcentral's name for it is "Eukaryotic large subunit ribosomal RNA". It matches the Rfam family "Eukaryotic large subunit ribosomal RNA", at positions 814 to 954 of the family's 3401-position model. The record is from Rfam by way of RNAcentral. Lineage: Eukaryota; Metazoa; Chordata; Mammalia; Perissodactyla; Equidae.
ACCAAAAAGAUGGUGAACCAUGCCUGGGCAGGGCAAAGCCAGGGGAAACUCUGGUGAAGGCCCAUAGCAGUCUUGACAUGCAAAUCGGUCAUCUGACCUGGGUAUAAGGGCGAAAGACUAAUUGAACCAUCUAGUAGCUGG